Molecule: ribosomal RNA, 542 nt
Filed under: Anaplasma phagocytophilum
Lineage: Bacteria; Pseudomonadati; Pseudomonadota; Alphaproteobacteria; Rickettsiales; Anaplasmataceae
Description: bacterial SSU rRNA
Rfam family: Bacterial small subunit ribosomal RNA
Source: RNAcentral
AUGCAUAGGAAUCUACCUAGUAGUAUAGGAUAGCCACUAGAAAUGGUGGGUAAUACUGUAUAAUCCCUGCGGGGGAAAGAUUUAUCGCUAUUGGAUGAGCCUAUGUUAGAUUAGCUAGUUGGUAGGGUAAAGGCCUACCAAGGCGAUGAUCUAUAGCUGGUCUGAGAGGAUGAUCAGCCACACUGGAACUGAGAUACGGUCCAGACUCCUACGGGAGGCAGCAGUGGGGAAUAUUGGACAAUGGGCGCAAGCCUGAUCCAGCUAUGCCGCGUGAGUGAGGAAGGCCUUAGGGUUGUAAAACUCUUUCAGUGGGGAAGAUAAUGACGGUACCCACAGAAGAAGUCCCGGCAAACUCCGUGCCAGCAGCCGCGGUAAUACGGAGGGGGCAAGCGUUGUUCGGAAUUAUUGGGCGUAAAGGGCAUGUAGGCGGUUUGGUAAGUUAAAGGUGAAAUGCCAGGGCUUAACCCUGGAGCUGCUUUUAAUACUGCCAGACUUGAGUCCCGAAGAGGAUAGCGGAAUUCCUAGUGUAGAGGUGAAAUUCG